CGGGGUGGAGUAAUGUCUGGGAAACUGCCUGAUGGAGGGGGAUAACUGCUGGAAACGGUAGCUAAUACCGCAUAACGUCGCAAGACCAAAGAGGGGGACCUUCGGGCCUCUUGCCAUCGGAUGUGCCCAGAUGGGAUUAGCUAGUAGGUGGGGUAACGGCUCACCUAGGUGACGAUCCCUAGCUGGUCUGAGAGGAUGACCAGCCACACUGGAACUGAGACACGGUCCAG
RNAcentral lists this ribosomal RNA (230 nucleotides) under uncultured bacterium. Its description in RNAcentral is "partial 16S ribosomal RNA". It matches the Rfam family "Bacterial small subunit ribosomal RNA", at positions 104 to 334 of the family's 1533-position model. The record is from RNAcentral.